AGAGGGUGCUAGCGUUAAUCGGAUUUACUGGGCGUAAAGCGUGUGUAGGUCGUUGUUCAAGUCGGUUGUGAAAUCCCCGGGCUCAACCUGGGAACUGCUUCCGAGACUGAGCGACUAGAGUACGGUAGAGGGCGGUGGAAUUUCCGGUGUAGCGGUGAAAUGCGUAGAUAUCGGAAGGAACAUCAAUGGCGAAGGCAGCCGCCUGGGCCUGUACUGACACUGAGACACGAAAGCGUGGGGAUCAAACAGGAUUAGAUACCCUGGUAGUCCACGCCGUAAACGAUGARAACUUGACGUCGGUUUGCUCUGCAAGUCGGUGUCGUANCUAACGCGAUAAGUUCUCCGCCUGGGGAGUACGGCCGCAAGGUUGA
Molecule: ribosomal RNA, 371 nt
Filed under: uncultured Nevskia sp.
Lineage: Bacteria; Pseudomonadati; Pseudomonadota; Gammaproteobacteria; Nevskiales; Nevskiaceae
Description: bacterial SSU rRNA
Rfam family: Bacterial small subunit ribosomal RNA
Source: RNAcentral